This 494-nucleotide ribosomal RNA is filed under the name Clostridioides difficile. Its description in RNAcentral is "partial 23S ribosomal RNA". It matches the Rfam family "Bacterial large subunit ribosomal RNA", at positions 1 to 496 of the family's 2925-position model. Lineage: Bacteria; Bacillati; Bacillota; Clostridia; Peptostreptococcales; Peptostreptococcaceae. The record is from RNAcentral.
UGGUCAAGUUAUUAAGGGUGCAGGGCGGAUGCCUUGGCACUAGGAGCCGAUGAAGGACGUGAUAAGCUGCGAUAAGCUUCGGGGAGUUGCACGUAAACUUUGAUCCGAAGAUUUCCGAAUGAGGAAACUCACUUAGAGUAAUGUCUAAGUAUCAUUAAGUGAAUACAUAGCUUAAUGAGGGGAACUCAGGGAACUGAAACAUCUAAGUACCUGAAGGAAGAGAAAGAAAUUCGAUUCCGUAAGUAGCGGCGAGCGAACGCGGAUUAGCCCAAACCAAUAAAGUUUUCUUUAUUGGGGUUGCGGACAUAUCAUAACGAAGAGGUAUCGUAAUUGAAGAGGUUUGGAAAGACCCACCACAGAAGGUAAUAGUCCUGUAUGUUAAACGAGAAGACUUCAGAUAUGAUCCAGAGUACCACGGGACACGUGAAACCCUGUGGGAAGCAGGAGGGACCACCCUCCAAGGCUAAAUACUACCUAGUGACCGAUAGCGUAUA